This 400-nucleotide ribosomal RNA is filed under the name uncultured bacterium. RNAcentral's name for it is "bacterial SSU rRNA". It matches the Rfam family "Bacterial small subunit ribosomal RNA", at positions 355 to 772 of the family's 1533-position model. The record is from RNAcentral.
UGGGGAAUUUUGCACAAUGGGCGGAAGCCUGAUGCAGCGACGCCGCGUGGAGGAUGAAGGCCUUCGGGUUGUAAACUCCUUUUGCAGGGGAAGAUGGUGACGGUACCCUGCGAAUAAGCCACGGCUAACUCUGUGCCAGCAGCCGCGGUAAGACAGAGGUGGCGAGCGUUGUUCGGAAUUACUGGGCUUAAAGGGCGCGUAGGCGGUGGGACAAGUCUGAGGUGGAAUCCGGGGGCCUAACCUCCGAACUGCCUUGGAAACUGUACUGCUUGAGUUAGACAGGGGAAGGCGGAAUUCCUGGUGUAGCGGUGAAAUGCGUAGAUAUCAGGAGGAAGGCCUGUGGCGAAGGCGGCCUUCUGGGUCUUAACUGACGCUGAGGCGCGAAAGCGUGGGGAGCAAA